Molecule: unclassified non-coding RNA, 409 nt
Filed under: uncultured Glomeromycotina
Lineage: Eukaryota; Fungi; Glomeromycota
Description: sequence contains 28S rRNA gene
Source: RNAcentral
AGAGUAAAAUAGUACGUGAAAUUGUUGAAAGGGAAACGAUUGAAGUCAGUCGUACCGACGAGAAAUCAGCUUAUUGUGUGCGAACUUGUGGGCGUGCGUGAGUUUCGGCCUCGCUGUUUGCAUGUUUGUGCGUUUUGGGUGUACUUUUUCGUAUGGUAGGCCAAUGUCAGUUUCGAUUACUAUAAAAUGACCGGCGGAAUGUAGCUUCGAUCUCGGUUGAAGUGUUAUAGCCUCUGGUAGAUGUAGUGAUUGGGACUGAGGAUUGCAACGAAUAUCCUUUGGGCUAUCCGUCUGAUCUCUGAUAGUUGCUCAGGUGCCGAAAGCGUGCUUACGGUCAUCUAAGUUGACGGUCAAUAGGUUAGAACGUGAUUACAUUCGUUAAGGACGUUGGCGUAAUGGCUUUAAACGA